This 513-nucleotide ribosomal RNA is filed under the name uncultured bacterium. RNAcentral describes it as "partial 16S ribosomal RNA". It matches the Rfam family "Bacterial small subunit ribosomal RNA", at positions 28 to 507 of the family's 1533-position model. The record is from RNAcentral.
GACGAACGCUGGCGGCGUGCUUAACACAUGCAAGUCGAACGAAAAGAGGGAAAGAGCUUGCUCUUUCCGGAAUUGAGUGGCAAACGGGUGAGUAACAAGUAAACAACCUGCCUUCAGGAUGGGGACAACAGACGGAAACGACUGCUAAUACCGAAUAAGUUCCAAGAGCCGCAUGGCCAAUGGAAGAAAAGGUGGCCUCUACCUGUAAGCUAUCGCCUGAAGAGGGGUUUGCGUCUGAUUAGCUGGUUGGAGGGGUAACGGCCCACCAAGACGACGAUCAGUAGACGGUCUGAGAGGAUGAACGGCCACACUGGAACUGAGACACGGUCCAGACUCCUAAGGGAGGCAGCAGUGGGGAAUCUUCCGCAAUGGGCGAAAGCCUGACGGAGCAACGCCGCGUGAGUGAUGACGGCCUUCGGGUUGUAAAACUCUGUGAUCCGGGACGAAAAGGCAGAGUGCGAAGAACAAACUGCAUUGACGGUACCGGAAAAGCAAGCCACGGCUAACUACGUG